Molecule: ribosomal RNA, 459 nt
Filed under: uncultured bacterium
Lineage: Bacteria
Description: partial 16S ribosomal RNA
Rfam family: Bacterial small subunit ribosomal RNA
Source: RNAcentral
CCUACGGGGGGCAGCAGUGGGGAAUUUUGCGCAAUGCUCGUAAGAGUGACGCAGCGACGCCGCGUGAAUGACGAAGGUACAGCGUAUCGUAAACCUCUUUUGUCAGGGAACAAAGGCGGGGACUAGUCCCCGGAUGAGGGUACCUGAAGAAAAAGCAUCGGCUAACUCCGUGCCAGCAGCCGCGGUAAUACGGAGGAUGCGAGCGUUAUCCGGAUUUAUUGGGUUUAAAGGGUGCGCAGGCGGCCUGUUAAGUCAGCGGUAAAAGCCCGGGGCUCAACCCCGGCGAGCCGUUGAAACUGGCGGGCUGGAGUUGGAGAGAAGUACGCGGAAUGCGCGGUGUAGCGGUGAAAUGCUUAGAUAUCGCGCAGAACCCCGAUUGCGAAGGCAGCGUACCGGCUCCACACUGACGCUGAGGCACGAAAGCGUGGGUAUCGAACAGGAUUAGAUACCCGGGUAGUC